CUGCUGCCUCCCGUAGGAGUUUGGACCGUGUCUCAGUUCCAAUGUGGGGGACCUUCCUCUCAGAACCCCUACGCAUCGUCGGCUUGGUGGGCCGUUGCCCCACCAACUACCUAAUGCGCCGCAUGCCCAUCCGUGACCGGGGUCGCCCCCUUUGGCCGGCAGGGGAUGUCCCCUCCCGGCAUUAUGUUGUAUUAGGCGGGAUUUCUCCCGGUUAUCCAUCUGUCACGGCCAGGUUGCAUACGUGUUACUCACCCGUGCGCCGGUCGCCGGUGG
This 273-nucleotide ribosomal RNA is filed under the name uncultured bacterium. Its description in RNAcentral is "partial 16S ribosomal RNA". The record is from RNAcentral.